GGGGUACAGCUCAGUGGUAGAGUGUGUGCUUAGUGUGCAUGAGGUCCUGGGUUCCAUCCUCAGGUUCUCCA
RNAcentral lists this transfer RNA (71 nucleotides) under Camelus bactrianus (Bactrian camel). It matches the Rfam family "tRNA". Rfam says of the family: Transfer RNA (tRNA) molecules are approximately 80 nucleotides in length. Their secondary structure includes four short double-helical elements and three loops (D, anti-codon, and T loops). The record is from Rfam by way of RNAcentral. RNAcentral also lists the same sequence under 2 other names. Lineage: Eukaryota; Metazoa; Chordata; Mammalia; Artiodactyla; Camelidae.